GGGAUGUACCAGGCAGGUGGAUGGAGCCCCUUCCUCAUGGCUGCCUACCUGGGUUCUGCUCUGGAUGAAGGCAGAGAUGGACUGGGAAUCUGGAGAUCUGCCCCUUUGGCUUUCUUUCUGUCUCCUUAAGGCUCCUCUAUGAAACUCCCAUAGAAGCCUGUGUGAACGUCACUGGUGUGGAAAGUCUCGAAGAUUCAUUACAAGAAGCUGCUGUCUGAGAAAUGAAGCCAGGACUGGGGAGAGAUGACCUACUGGAUCAGCUCCAGAAGACAGAUGGCUCUGUCAUUCAGAGAAAGGAGAUGAAGAACAAGGAUGAAGCAGAGGAAGAGGAUGGAGAGGAGGAUGAGGAAGGCCAUGAGGAGAAGGAAAAUCUCUGAUCUAUAAUUCUAGACACAUUUUCAGUCACAUGAAGAAGUCAGGGUCUUGGCACUUAUUCUCCUCUUGCCUGGAACACUCCUCCCCCAGCCCUUCUUGCUGACUCAUCAUUCAUUUUUCCCCCCAAACUGACCUCCUCCAAAGGCCUACCCUGACCACACUAUCAGUAAAUAAUUCUCCCAUUACCUUCUCAAGUCAUCCUGUUUAGUUCAUUCACAGAAUUGAUCACAACUUGAAACUUCAUUUAUCACCUGCCUCUAGCUAUUAGAAUGUAAAAGGCAUGAAGACAGCCUUUGCCCUACUGAUGGAUACAGCCUCUGUGGAGUGGAGUCCAUGAAUGAGUGAUGGAGGCAGCUGAUGUUCUGGAAGGUAUGGGAGCCCAGACACUGUGCACUUGUGGGUACUGUCCUGAAGUUCUAAAGCUGUGCUGGGUGCUAUGUCAAGAAGGGAAGGAUCAAGGGAGCAGGGGUGGUACCUAAAGGAGCGCAGCUGGUGAGAGGCUGGACAGGGUGAUGAGCAGCUGGUAGGGACACCAAGGGGCUGACUUCUCAUUCUGCAAGCUGAAAAGCUGAUCCAGUCUGAUAUGGGGUCAGCAACACACCCAACUAGGGCGAUGGGCACCCAAUGGUGGUGAGUCCAGAGCCCACAGAUGGCAGAGAUGGAGGGGAACUUAGGAGGAGUAGAGUGUAGUUAAGCACUUGGGCACUGGUAUCCCUUGUACCUGGAUUUGAAUUUCUGAUUUAAUCAUGUACUUGGUGCAUGAGCUUGGGCAAAUUAUCGAUCUGAAAUUUCACUUUCCACAUCUCUAAAAUGGAGAUAAUAUUUCCUAUCUCAUAAAGGUUAGGUCAGAAAAUAUGCACCAAGCACUUAGCUCAGUGCUUGGCACAUAGUAGGUGUUUAAUAAAUAUUGACUCUUAUGACUACUGUGGGGCUUACCUGGUGGCUCAGAUAGUAAAGAAUCUGCCUGCAAUGCAGAAGACCCGGGUUCAAUCCCUGGGUUGGGAAGAUCCCCUGGAGAAGGAAGUGGCUACCCACUCCAGUAUUCUUGCCUGGAGAAUCCCAUGGACAGAGGAGCCUGGCAAACUACAGUCUACAGGGUUGCAAAGAGUUGGAGAUGACUGAAGCGACUGAGCACACACAGGAUUACUAUUAUGCUGUCCAAUAUCCUAACCGAUGGGAAAGGUAUAGCUCAGACAGGAACAGGGGUGAGGCUGUGUCACUCAGUAACUCAGUGUCAGAGCAGGGACUGGCACCCAGGACGAGUACCCCUCCCAAUUGCACUUCUCUCUCUUCCCUUGGUGGUGGCCGGAGGACCAGCCUCAGUCCUAAUGGUCUCCCUCAGUAGGUCCAAGUCAUCUUGCUUCAGAGGCUCCUGUCCCCCCAGGGUGCUAGGGGGGACCUAGACAGAAACCUCCCAAGUUUUCUUCUGAGGAAUCCAGGCUCAGGGUCUUCCCACAGAGCCUGGGAAUAGCCCCCAGAUGGGAUCUUUGUCCCAGAGCUUUAGCCUAGCCCCAGUCAGCUUUCUAGCUUCUGAACUGAAGGCCUCAUGAGAACUCCAGCCAAACACUGGGAAUGGUUCUAUCAGCUCACUUUCAUCAGAAUCAUUAUCUUAGUUUAUGAAGAAAAACACAACGUUUAAGUUAAUUUUAGUCCCCACGAUCCCUGGGAGCUAUAGCAACCAAUCCUAUAAAAGCACACAUCUGUUCACAGUGCAAACAGAUAUCUGAGGAGUCUGCCAGCACCUGGUACUAAACAGCUGAGGUAGAGUUCUUGAUUUGUGCAACUGGGAGAGGUCUUGGGGGUCAGCUGGUGCAGAGAUACUUUCAUGGAUUUCUGACUCAUCCCUUUCAAAACCUGAAGGAAGCCAUGGGCCUUCUCUGAUGAAAAAUGCACAGACACCCGGAGUUUCUCAGGUUCAAGAAUCUCUCUCCCCCCAUUUUUUUUUAACUUUGCAUUUUAUAGUGGAGCACAGCUGAUAACCAUGUUGUGUCAGUUUCAGGUGUAUGGCAAAGUGAUUCAGUUACACAUGUACAUGUAUCUAUUCUUCAAAUCCUUUUCCCAUUUAGGUUGUUACAGAAUACUGAGGAACAUUCCCUGUGCUGUACAGUAGGUCCUUGUUAGUCCUCUCUUCUAUAUAUAGUAGUGUGUCUAUGUCAACUGCAAUC
Dama dama (fallow deer) is the source of this 2540-nucleotide long non-coding RNA. RefSeq lists it as uncharacterized. The transcript is spliced from 3 exons. Lineage: Eukaryota; Metazoa; Chordata; Mammalia; Artiodactyla; Cervidae. The record is from RefSeq and is a predicted model, not a curated record.